GACUCUCGGCAACGGAUAUCUCGGCUCUUGCAUCGAUGAAGAACGUAGCGAAAUGCGAUACUUGUUGUGAAUUGCAGAAUCCCGUGAACCAUCGAGUCUUUGAAUGCAAGUUGCGCCCGAAGCCACUAGGCCGAGGGCACGCCUGCCUGGGUGUCA
RNAcentral lists this ribosomal RNA (156 nucleotides) under Vigna angularis (adzuki bean). RNAcentral describes it as "rRNA 5_8S_rRNA". It matches the Rfam family "5.8S ribosomal RNA". From Rfam's summary of the family: 5.8S ribosomal RNA (5.8S rRNA) is a component of the large subunit of the eukaryotic ribosome. It is transcribed by RNA polymerase I as part of the 45S precursor that also contains 18S and 28S rRNA. Lineage: Eukaryota; Viridiplantae; Streptophyta; Magnoliopsida; Fabales; Fabaceae. The record is from RNAcentral.